RNAcentral lists this transfer RNA (70 nucleotides) under Verrucomicrobiota bacterium. RNAcentral describes it as "Verrucomicrobia bacterium tRNA-Ile". It matches the Rfam family "tRNA". Rfam says of the family: Transfer RNA (tRNA) molecules are approximately 80 nucleotides in length. Their secondary structure includes four short double-helical elements and three loops (D, anti-codon, and T loops). Further hydrogen bonds mediate the characteristic L-shaped molecular structure. tRNAs have two regions of fundamental functional importance: the anti-codon, which is responsible for specific mRNA codon recognition, and the 3' end, to which the tRNAs corresponding amino acid is attached (by aminoacyl-tRNA synthetases). tRNAs cope with the degeneracy of the genetic code in two manners: having more than one tRNA (with a specific anti-codon) for a particular amino acid; and 'wobble' base-pairing, i.e. permitting non-standard base-pairing at the 3rd anti-codon position. The record is from RNAcentral. Lineage: Bacteria; Pseudomonadati; Verrucomicrobiota.
GGUUAUCUAGCGAAAUGGCAAAGCGCCGGCCUUAUAAGCCGGAGUUGCAGGUUCGACUCCUGCGAAUCCG